Molecule: small nucleolar RNA, 67 nt
Organism: Bicyclus anynana (squinting bush brown)
Lineage: Eukaryota; Metazoa; Arthropoda; Insecta; Lepidoptera; Nymphalidae
Source: RefSeq, a predicted model, not a curated record
UUGCAAUGAUGAUCAUUUCAGUUCUGCUUCUGAAACUAUUGAAGAAAAUAUACCAAUUAGCUGAUGU